Molecule: long non-coding RNA, 433 nt
Organism: Trichoplusia ni (cabbage looper)
Lineage: Eukaryota; Metazoa; Arthropoda; Insecta; Lepidoptera; Noctuidae
Exons: 3
Source: RefSeq, a predicted model, not a curated record
UGUCUUUUAUUUUAUUUUUAGGUACUUGCACUCACCUUUUACAGUAAUAGUAUCUAAUAGUUCCUCAGGAUAAGGGUGCAUCUUGUUAUUAUAUGAAUAUAUCUUUUUAUUAUUAUUUGUUACUUGUCAGGACACCUCCAUCUUAUAUUAUCAGCUGAUCCCCUGGUACUUUCACCCGGGGCCAGCCAGCGACGCGCGAGGUUAGAAACUCAUCGUAACAGCGUCAGUCGUUGACAAUUUGAAACUGGACGAUAUUUUCCUCUAGUGUUGGUAUGUAUGUCGAGCUUAUCCUUACGGCUUUGGCAAAGCUAGUCUGCUGUCCAAUCCAGACUAGCUUUUACAAUUGCAUAAGUUUAUUAAAGCCACCAGAGAGCUGGGUGUUCGAAGAUGUCGUCCGGUAUCGGAGGAGAGCUGCGCGUGAGAUGGUUGCGCG